This 5370-nucleotide long non-coding RNA is filed under the name Oryza sativa (Asian cultivated rice). Its description in RNAcentral is "long non-coding RNA (OSAT_LNC000355)". Lineage: Eukaryota; Viridiplantae; Streptophyta; Magnoliopsida; Poales; Poaceae. The record is from RNAcentral.
GGAUCAUCAAGUCACUUCACCUUGCAUUGAUUUAAGAUAAGGUGAAUGGUUUGAAUAUGAUAUAUUCUUAGAUAAAAUUGGUCUAAAUUCGUAAUAGUAUUUGAUAAUGGAGAAAACCAACGUGAUCCCAAAGGUUCGCUCCUGCAUCAAUUUAGUCAUAUGGGCUAAUAUAGUCGUCGGACUUAUUAAAAUCGCCACAUGGACAUACCAUAUCACCCUCCCAUGCAAAAUCUGCAAUGAGUUGUUUUACCCUUACAUAUUGUCAGAGGAACAGGAACGGGAGCCCCCCGGUCCUCCGGGGUCUUUAGGGCACCCGAGGUUGUAUGUUACAACAAGAGACACACAAGAUUUACAUCUUCAAGGAACGAACAAUAUCUACAUCUUCAAGAGAUACACAUGAUCUACAUCUCCAAGGUGCCGAGGAGAGUGUAGAGACCUACAGGAUCUAAAUCUCCAGGGUGCCAAGGAGAGGAUACAGAUCUACAAGAUCUAUAUCUUCAAGGUGCUAAGGGGGUAGAUAGUUGCUCGAUGCAUAUUCCACGGAGGUGAUCAUUGAGAACUUGUUCGUCAACGACAUAUUCGAGAAGCUCACCCAAAGUAACAAGAAAACAUGUGAAUUAGCAAGGGGAGAGGUCCUUGUUGCCCUGGGACGAUCUGGUGCCCCGAGCACGCUACCUGCCCCAGAUGUGUGGCUGCUCUGAGGAGCAGAGGCCACCCUAGAGUGCAGAACAAGUGGCUAGGGGUCCAGGCAGGGGCCCGAGCAUAUCCACCUUGCCCCGGGCUAGCCUCGAAUCUCUCUAAUCCUCUGAGUGGGCCUCUCGACACCACUUACCGCCCAAGUCUAAAACCACAUUUUAACACAUUUUAGUUCACAAAUAUAAGAGCUAUUCACCUCUGUCCAGCAGUGAAAAUAUUACCCAAAUUCUCAUUUACAAAGUGAUCAUGAUGUCAUUUAGCAUUUUCUAGGCAUGACUAAGCAUAGAGCUUUUAUAUAAGCAUGUAUAAACCUAUUUGAGUACUUAGAAAGUACUCUAACCAUUUCUAAGGUUACAAUCAGUGAGAGUAAUAAUUAUUCAAAGAGAAUAUGCAGCAAAUAGGACAUAACUACCAUAACCAUGUUUUAAAGAUACCGAUAUAGUCUAAAUUCAUAUGCAACUUUGCAAACAAAUAUUUUCAUUCCUCAAAUCAUGGGAUUCAAUGUGAUCAAAGGAUGGGAGGAGAAUUUGCCUUGCUCUUGGAAUUGUUAGCACCUAAGUCACUUCUUCACCGUUAUACAAUAAUCUAUAUAAAGUACACGUUAUACAAUUAAACACCGAAAUAGGAGAAAAUCCAAAAUGCUCUAAAAUGCAUGAUUUGUUCACAGUGGAUAGGUUCUGAUCUAAAAUGAAUUUACAUGAAAGAAUUUCUAUUUUAUCUCUUUUUAUUUGGAAGUUAUUAAUUUUAGAAGUUACGUCGGUAUAAUGUAGUAUAGGUUUAGGCAGUGCUACAAAAUAUUUUUGCAAAGUGGUUUUAUUAGAUUUGAAUUCUCAGGGGUGUAGAUAUGUGUUUUUUUAAUACUAACACAUUUUGUUUCACAAUUUUUAGAGUUAUUAUGAAUUCUUUAUGUGGUUCACAAGUUAUAACGUGUUCUAGGCAUAUAACUUUUAGGUGUACAUGACUUUGGAGAUUUAGGUUCAGAACAUGUUCUACUUUGUUUGAGAUGUAUAAAAUAAAUAAUUUGGUUAACCAAUCUAAUCUUAGUUCAUAACUUUAGGGCUUGUAUUAAUUUGCUAUACAUUCUAUAAAGUAGGGAGAUGUUCUUUGUUAGUUUUCUUAACAUAACAACUUAGAGGUUAUUACAUGAGCUAAGUUCUUCUAAGUUUUGGUGGAUGGGGAUGGAACUAUGGCUUCACUGGUCCUAACAAGUUUUAUUUUGGUUUAUUCAUAGCUAGAGUGCAUUUUAAAUACCUCUACACGUAUUUUUUGCUUAACCAUCACUAGGUGAUUAACUCCUAGGUUAUCUAUUUAAAGAUUAGAGCUAUAACCUGUACAAAAUUUGUCAUAUUUUAUUUUACUAUAUUGAAGCUCACUAUUUUCUGGUUCUAUAGAAACUUAGUUCAUUUCAUUUGGACUAAAAAUGAAUUUUCUACAAAUUUUACAAGUUAAAGGCUGCUCUAUGUUGGUUAUUCCUUACAUAAAUCUUUAGAGGCUUUGAUUAUACAGUAAGUACAUACUUUUAUUUUACAAAUUGGAAAUACAUAUUUCGGUGAUUCUACAGAACUUGUGUUUACUCAAAAAGGAGUUAAAAUGAAUUUUAGAUAAAUCUUUAAAGUUUAGCUUCCCUAAAUCUCAUCAUUUUAAAUGCAAUUGUUUUAAAGGCAUUUGAUGCAAAGCAAGUAAUUACUUUUAUUUCACCUAACCAGAGAGUGCAUGAUGAUGAAUUUGCAGAAUUUGAGUUUGUUUCAAAAUGAGUUGAGAUAAAUUUUAUAUGUAUUUUAUAAAUUUGUGUAUGUUUUAUGUAUGAUUUAUAUUAGACAAAUUUUUGAGGCAAAGUUUGUACAGUGAGUGUCAAGUUUUAUGUUUCUAUAGUAAAUUUCAUAACUUUGUGAAUCUACAGAAACUAGAAUCACCUCAAAAUGAGCUAUAUUUGAUUUUAUAUGAAUUUUCCAAGUUCGUGCAUUUUUCUGUUAAACAUAUAUUUGGUUGGGUAUUUUCAUUUAUUAUUUUCCAGAUUUUAAAGGAUGGGGUCCAUUGGUCAGUGAGAGAUCAAUAUGCAAAAAGCACCUUGAGGUUCCUAGGAAUCAACCCACAGUCCAAAGUUUGUGAUGAACCAAAUUCAUUAAGAGUCCUUAGAUUCUUUAAAUUCAUUACUAACUAGAAAAGCAGCGCGCCAACUGGCGCGCUCGCUCUGUAGCCCCUGUAUAAAGUUUGAUGAAUUAGUAUGAAAUUUGUGCUAUUAAUUAGUACGAAUUUCAUGAAAUUUUAUGGAAAUUAUUUGAAUUUCUAUGAAUUGCACAGAAUUGCUCCAAUUCAACAUAGCAGAUCGCAUUGUUGAGAAGGAUCCUUAAUUUUCUCUCUUCUUUCAAUUCAUGCUAUUCAGGGUUUUUUUGUGUGUCUAAAAUUGUAAUUAAUUGUCAACUAACGAUAAAACAUGUGUUUAUAAUUUUGAAAAUUUUAAGUGUUCCAAAUUUAUGUUUUGUGAGGAGCUAUUGCAAAUGCACUUUAGAACUGCUAGUAUAUAUGCAACAUAUCCUCACCGAUAUUACUAUUACAAAUGUUAGAGCCAUGUAAAAAUUGAUAGGAAGAUCCGCUCAUCAAUUUGUACAAAAAAAUAAUCAGUAUAUUAUUAUGAAGAUUGGUAUAAGACUCUCAACAUUAUAACGCAAUAUCUUGAACUCUACCAAAUAUUCUAAUAGCACUGAGCAUUUCAUCCUUGUCUAGAAAGGCUAGGAGAUAAAGAUUUAUACAAGUUUUGUGUGCGCAAAGGCUCGAGAGUAAAGAACCUACAGGUUAAUGAUGAUGGUCGUAAUGAUACAUAAUUGCAAAUGCAACCUAAACUUCAGGAGCCUACAAUCUACAUGGAUGAGUUGACAUGUUUUUAUGCCUACAUGGCUGCCUGAAAUUCAGCAGCCUCCUUAUACUAUUCCAGGGGCGGAGGGCUCGGUAGGGCGAGGUGUGGCGCUCGCCAUACCUCGCGCCGCCCGCUGAACCCCUCGUACUCCUCCGUGCAGAGCAGCAGCCGAGUCAGAGAGAGUGGCGACGCCGCAUCGUGAGAAGACGAGCGACAGCUGAGACGCGGCGUGGGCGUGUCCGCGAGGCUCGUCUUGUUUUGUGUCUUGAAUCUAGACCCAAAUUUCCCCAUCUGACCAUCUCCUCCACUCUCCCCCAAUCCGCCAAUCCCCAUCCCGAUCUCAUCGGCGGACGACGGCUGCCGCGAUGUGCGUCGUGCGCGGGAGGACUGGGUGAGGUGAGGAGGACGCAGAGCUGCGGCUGCGGCAUCCGCUCCGGCCAGGCGGCGGCGCGACCAGCCUCCAGGGCCCAGGGGGGCAUGCGAACACGCAGUCGCACACGCGCAGGCGCGCAGCGCAGGAAGAGCAGAGGUAGAGGCAGGGUGGGACCACUGGCGGAGGACGGAAAAAAAUUAGGUGUGGCACAAGGAGUGGACACCCAAGACUAAGGAAAAAGCAAUCUCAAUUGCAACAGGAUAUUUUGUCAAUAAGCCUAUAUUACGCAUGGCAACAACCAUUGAUCGCAAUCCAUUAUUCAUUUGCAAACAAGCAUAAAUAAAUAAAUAAAUAAAAGUAUGCAUGGAAGGAUAUGCACCUCUUUGAUGUCAAGACCUUCCCUUCCCUUUCUAUCCAUUUUCGCAAAACUUGGUUGCCCCUGCUAAUUGGCUGCUUGCUGAGCGGCGGAUGCAGUCACGCACGGCGCGCCCACGCCGCCACUGGCUGCAUGCUUGUGCCUUGUUGAGUUGAGUUGUUGCUCUGCUGCUAGCCCCUGCUGAAGUGCCGAGUGCCCAAUGCCGGAGUGCCUGCGGCCGGCGGCCUGCCCAACCUGCGCCGUCGCAGCCUCCUCCUCCCCGUGCCUCCUCCCCGCGACCCCGCACCAGCGCCGCCCAACUCCACUCGACCGGCGGCCGGAUUAGGGAUUGGAGUUGGAGAGAAGAGGGGAAUUUUGGGUUUAGCCGUCUAGGGUUUGAUGGUCAAAAGCCCCUUUUGCACAAAACAACUAAACAAGCCCAAUGGGCUAAAUAUUUUGGGUGCUCGCCUGCUUCAUCCUCUCGCCUCUCGCUCUUUCUUUGCGCACGGCGUCGUUCCCUCUCGCUCUUUCUCGCGCACGACGUCGCUCCCUCACCAGCGGCUGGAUCCCGGGGGAGGGGACGAAUUGAGAGGUGGGGGGUUAGGCGGAGCAAGGUAUGGCGAGGGCCACACCUUGCCCUACCGAGAGCUCCGCCCCUGGGUGGGACGAAUGGCACAACAGUAGUGCAGGCGUGCAGCACCAAGCAUCGACAGCAAGCAAGCCAACUGAUUCUACAUUUGUGAAGUUUAAUCAAUCUUUGGUACUGGACUACUGGAGUAUUUGUUUUAUAGAUUCCACAUGUAUUAUCUAUCUAUACUCAGUACUGUAGUUCCUAUAUGUGAAUAUGUGAUGUAUUGUUGAAAGCAUAAAUAUUAAGAAGUUGAGGUAUUUUUUGACUACACUGUUUGCAAAUGGAUGAUGAAUCAUGAACUUGCGAUUAGUUCUUGUUUGCUAGCUUAAUGUAGACUUGUUGAGAUAAUAUUGCGUCGUAUAAUGUUCUGUGCUAACUUUCGUGGUGAUUCGUUGGCCACACCUAAAUUUUUUUCCGUCCUCCGCCACUGUACUAUUCCACAUGUCAACAACUGGAAAUCA